Molecule: ribosomal RNA, 484 nt
Filed under: uncultured bacterium
Lineage: Bacteria
Description: bacterial SSU rRNA
Rfam family: Bacterial small subunit ribosomal RNA
Source: RNAcentral
GACGAACGCUGGCGGCGUGCUUAACACAUGCAAGUCGAACGGAAAGGCCCUGCUUGCAGGGUACUCGAGUGGCGAACGGGUGAGUAACACGUGGGUGAUCUGCCCUGCACUUCGGGAUAAGCCUGGGAAACUGGGUCUAAUACCGGAUAGGAGCCAUUUUUAGUGUGAUGGUUGGAAAGUUUUUUCGGUGUAGGAUGAGCUCGCGGCCUAUCAGCUUGUUGGUGGGGUAAUGGCCUACCAAGGCGGCGACGGGUAGCCGGCCUGAGAGGGUGGACGGCCACAUUGGGACUGAGAUACGGCCCAGACUCCUACGGGAGGCAGCAGUGGGGAAUAUUGCACAAUGGGCGCAAGCCUGAUGCAGCGACGCCGCGUGGGGGAUGACGGCCUUCGGGUUGUAAACUCCUUUCGCUAGGGACGAAGCUUUUUGUGACGGUACCUAGAUAAGAAGCACCGGCUAACUACGUGCCAGCCGCCGCCGUAACAC